This 500-nucleotide ribosomal RNA is filed under the name uncultured bacterium. RNAcentral describes it as "partial 16S ribosomal RNA". It matches the Rfam family "Bacterial small subunit ribosomal RNA", at positions 29 to 523 of the family's 1533-position model. The record is from RNAcentral.
AUUGAACGCUGGCGGCAUGCCUUACACAUGCAAGUCGAACGGCAGCACGGGAGCAAUCCUGGUGGCGAGUGGCGAACGGGUGAGUAAAGUAUCGGAACGUGCACAGUCGUGGGGGAUAACGUAGCGACAGUUACGCUAAUACCGCAUACGAUCUAUGGAUGAAAGCGGGGGAUCGCAAGACCUCGCGCGAUUGGAGCGGCCGAUAUCAGAUUAGGUGGUUGGUUGGGUAAAGGCUCACCAAGCCGACGAUCGGUAGGUGGUCUGAGAGGACGAGCAGCCAAACUGGGACUGAGGGACGGCCCAGACGCCUACGGGAGGCAGCAGUGGGGAAGUUUGGACAAUGGGCGAAAGCCUGAUCCAACCACGCCGCGUGCAGGAUGAAGGCCUUCGGGUUGUAAACGGCUGUUGUACGGAACGAAAAGGUUUGGGCUAAUAAGCUGAGCUCAUGACGGUACCGUAAGAAUAAGCACCGGCUAACUACGUGCCAGCCGCCGCCGUAA